CGGACGGGUGAGUAACACGUGGAUAACCUACCUAUAAGACUGGGAUAACUUCGGGAAACCGGAGCUAAUACCGGAUAAUAUUUUGAACCGCAUGGUUACAAAGUGAAAGACGGUCUUGCUGUCACUUAUAGAUGGAUCCGCGCUGUAUUAGCUAGUUUGUAAGGUAACGGCUUACCAAGGCAACGAUGCAUAGCCGACCUGAGAGGGUGAUCGGCCACACUGGAACUGAGACACGGUCCAG
This 241-nucleotide ribosomal RNA is filed under the name uncultured Staphylococcus sp. RNAcentral's name for it is "partial 16S ribosomal RNA". It matches the Rfam family "Bacterial small subunit ribosomal RNA", at positions 99 to 334 of the family's 1533-position model. Lineage: Bacteria; Bacillati; Bacillota; Bacilli; Caryophanales; Staphylococcaceae. The record is from RNAcentral.